Myotis daubentonii (Daubenton's bat) is the source of this 579-nucleotide long non-coding RNA. RefSeq lists it as uncharacterized. The record is from RefSeq and is a predicted model, not a curated record. Lineage: Eukaryota; Metazoa; Chordata; Mammalia; Chiroptera; Vespertilionidae.
CCCCGGACUCCCACCCUGCCUGCCGCUGCCAGUUCUGCCAGCCAGUUCUGCUGGGCAAAGCCCAAAUAUGACCCAUUCCCUAUGAGGACCAGAAACAAAGCCGCACAGGACCUAAGAGUAAACAGUGACAGUUACCACUCUUGCUGACCAUGAAAUGGAACAUUUGUUACCCGGGGUUUAUGGUUCACGACGGAGCGGUCUUCGAGGCGUGGGGAUCGGCCGCAUCCCAUGCCUGCUCCGGGGUGGCGGGCCUCUCCUCCAUGGAGCCUUCUCUGGGGGCCUCAGGAAUGAGCUGUUCACUCACCCAUUGGCCUCCAUCGCCUCCUGAGGCAGCUGCCAGAUGGACUCGUACAGUAAGCCUCCUAACCAGAUCUGGGCUGACCCCAGAGAGAAGGAUUCUGAGAACGAGUUCUGAAGAAGUCUGCUGGUUUUAGGCUAGGAAAAGGGGGUACUCGGCUUGAAUUGACAUGUAAGAAACUGUACUCUUUUCCUGGGGUGGCUAUAACAAAUGGCGAUUAAACAGCAGAAAUUUAUUUUCUUGCAGUCCAAGAUGUUAGAAGUCCAAAGUCCAGGUAUUAG